Molecule: RNA transcript, 629 nt
Organism: Rosa rugosa (rugosa rose)
Lineage: Eukaryota; Viridiplantae; Streptophyta; Magnoliopsida; Rosales; Rosaceae
Exons: 4
Source: RefSeq, a predicted model, not a curated record
UGCCGUUGCGAGAGGUAGAGAGACAGAGAGAGUGAGGGUCUGCUCUCACUCUGGAAUAUUAGAGAGCGAAGGGAAACGGGGAAUUGGAGAGGAGGAAGGGAGGAGGUCAUCAAGGCCAAGCAAGGUAUUGUUUCUUCUCUGUGCCUUUUCUCAUUUGGGUAUUGCUUGCUUUUCUGGGUUCGUGGUUGCAUGUUGGUUUUGCAUGUGAGACCUACUCUUGAGGAACCUGAACCUGAAACCGAAGGCUUUGGAAAUCCAAUUUUGAAGGUCCGUUUUGCAGUUUUCUAAAGUUGAAUUGCUCCCAAAAGGCUUGGAUAUCCGGUUUCUUUCACACAAGGUGGUUAGCUUGCAAGGACUUGCCUCAAUUUUGGAGCCUAAUCUCCGCAGAAUUGACAAUGGCAAUUACAACCCCUUCAUCAAAUGUGACUGUUCUGAUAAUGUCAUUCGCCACAUUACCGUACUGCAACUUAGACUCUUCUGAUAGUUUAAAAUUAUGUUCUUACGUACUUUAAGUUUAAGUGCAGCUAGCUCACUUGGUUUUUGCUAUCUUUGUUUGUUGUUUGAUAUCAAACAUUAUCUGUUUGUUAAUUGGAUUAGGGAAUGACUUUGAAUGAUUUAAUCUUUUCUCA